CACUAUCGUUAACUGAAUACAUAGGUUAACGAGGCGAACCGGGGGAACUGAAACAUCUAAGUACCCCGAGGAAAAGAAAUCAACCGAGAUUCCCCCAGUAGCGGCGAGCGAACGGGGAGCAGCCCAGAGUCUGAAUCAGCUUGUGUGUUAGUGGAACGGUCUGGAAAGUCCGACGGUACAGGGUGAUAGUCCCGUACACCAAAAUGCACAGGCUGUGAACUCGAAGAGUAGGGCGGGACACGUGGUAUCCUGUCUGAAUAUGGGGGGACCAUCCUCCAAGGCUAAAUACUCCUGACUGACCGAUAGUGAACCAGUACCGUGAGGGAAAGGCGAAAAGAACCCCGGCGAGGGGAGUGAAAAAGAACCUGAAACCGUGUACGUACAAGCAGUGGGAGCACCUUAGGGUGUGACUGCGUACCUUUUGUAUAAUGGGUCAGCGACUUAUAUUCUGUAGCAAGGUUAACCGUAUAGGGGAGCCGCAGGGAAACCGAGUCUUAACUGGGCGUUAAGUUGCAGGGUAUAGACCCGAAACCCGGUGAUCUAGCCAUGGGCAGGUUGAAGGUUGGGUAACACUAACUGGAGGACCGAACCGACUAAUGUUGAAAAAUUAGCGGAUGACUUGUGGCUGGGGGUGAAAGGCCAAUCAAACCGGGAGAUAGCUGGUUCUCCCCGAAAGCUAUUUAGGUAGCGCCUCGUGAAUUCAUCUUCGGGGGUAGAGCACUGUUUCGGCUAGGGGGUCAUCCCGACUUACCAACCCGAUGCAAACUACGAAUACCGAAGAAUGUUAUCACGGGAGACACACGGCGGGUGCUAACGUCCGUCGUGAAGAGGGAAACAACCCAGACCGCCAGCUAAGGUCCCAAAGUCAUGGUUAAGUGGGAAACGAUGUGGGAAGGCACAGACAGCCAGGAUGUUGGCUUAGAAGCAGCCAUCAUUUAAAGAAAGCGUAAUAGCUCACUGGUCGAGUCGGCCUGCGCGGAAGAUGUAACGGGGCUAAACCAUGCACCGAAGCUGCGGCAGCGACACUAUGUGUUGUUGGGUAGGGGAGCGUUCUGUAAGCCUGCGAAGGUGACCUGUGAGGGUUGCUGGAGGUAUCAGAAGUGCGAAUGCUGACAUAAGUAACGAUAAAGCGGGUGAAAAGCCCGCUCGCCGGAAGACCAAGGGUUCCUGUCCAACGUUAAUCGGGGCAGGGUGAGUCGACCCCUAAGGCGAGGCCGAAAGGCGUAGUCGAUGGGAAACAGGUUAAUAUUCCUGUACUUGGUGUUACUGCGAAGGGGGGACGGAGAAGGCUAUGUUAGCCGGGCGACGGUUGUCCCGGUUUAAGCAUGUAGGCUGAUUGUCCAGGCAAAUCCGGAUAAUCAAGGCUGAGGUGUGAUGACGAGGCACUACGGUGCUGAAGUAACAAAUGCCCUGCUUCCAGGAAAAGCCUCUAAGCAUCAGGUAACAUUAAAUCGUACCCCAAACCGACACAGGUGGUCAGGUAGAGAAUACCAAGGCGCUUGAGAGAACUCGGGUGAAGGAACUAGGCAAAAUGGUGCCGUAACUUCGGGAGAAGGCACGCUGGUGUGUAGGUGAAGUCCCUGCGGAUGGAGCUGAGACCAGUCGAAGAUACCAGCUGGCUGCAACUGUUUAUUAAAAACACAGCACUGUGCAAACACGAAAGUGGACGUAUACGGUGUGACGCCUGCCCGGUGCCGGAAGGUUAAUUGAUGGGGUUAUCCGUAAGGAGAAGCUCUUGAUCGAAGCCCCGGUAAACGGCGGCCGUAACUAUAACGGUCCUAAGGUAGCGAAAUUCCUUGUCGGGUAAGUUCCGACCUGCACGAAUGGCGUAAUGAUGGCCAGGCUGUCUCCACCCGAGACUCAGUGAAAUUGAACUCGCUGUGAAGAUGCAGUGUACCCGCGGCAAGACGGAAAGACCCCGUGAACCUUUACUAUAGCUUGACACUGAACAUUGAGCCUUGAUGUGUAGGAUAGGUGGGAGGCUUUGAAGCGUGGACGCCAGUCUGCGUGGAGCCAACCUUGAAAUACCACCCUUUAAUGUUUGAUGUUCUAACGUUGGCCCCUGACCGGGGUUGCGGACAGUGUCUGGUGGGUAGUUUGACUGGGGCGGUCUCCUCCCAAAGCGUAACGGAGGAGCACGAAGGUUAGCUAAUCCUGGUCGGACAUCAGGAGGUUAGUGCAAUGGCAUAAGCUAGCUUGACUGCGAGCGUGACGGCGCGAGCAGGUGCGAAAGCAGGUCAUAGUGAUCCGGUGGUUCUGAAUGGAAGGGCCAUCGCUCAACGGAUAAAAGGUACUCCGGGGAUAACAGGCUGAUACCGCCCAAGAGUUCAUAUCGACGGCGGUGUUUGGCACCUCGAUGUCGGCUCAUCACAUCCUGGGGCUGAAGUAGGUCCCAAGGGUAUGGCUGUUCGCCAUUUAAAGUGGUACGCGAGCUGGGUUUAGAACGUCGUGAGACAGUUCGGUCCCUAUCUGCCGUGGGCGCUGGAGAAUUGAGGGGGGCUGCUCCUAGUACGAGAGGACCGGAGUGGACGCAUCACUGGUGUUCGGGUUGUCAUGCCAAUGGCACUGCCCGGUAGCUAAAUGCGGAAGAGAUAAGUGCUGAAAGCAUCUAAGCACGAAACUUGCCCCGAGAUGAGUUCUCCCUGAGACUUUAAGUCUCCUGAAGGAACGUUGAAGACGACGACGUUGAUAGGCCGGGUGUGUAAGCGCAGCGAUGCGUUGAGCUAACCGGUACUAAUGAACCGUGAGGCUUAACCUUACAACGCCGAAG
This 2770-nucleotide ribosomal RNA is filed under the name Klebsiella pneumoniae. RNAcentral describes it as "partial 23S ribosomal RNA". It matches the Rfam family "Bacterial large subunit ribosomal RNA". The record is from RNAcentral. Lineage: Bacteria; Pseudomonadati; Pseudomonadota; Gammaproteobacteria; Enterobacterales; Enterobacteriaceae.